AAAAACCGCCGGAAAGCCCAAGCCCGUUUCCUCCGGUAGCCCAUGGUACGGCCCCGAUCGUGUCAAAUACCUUGGCCCAUUCUCUGGAGAACCCCCAUCCUAUCUUACCGGAGAAUUCCCCGGUGACUACGGUUGGGACACUGCCGGCCUCUCCGCCGACCCCGAAACCUUCGCCAAAAACCGUGAACUCGAAGUAAUCCACUCGAGAUGGGCCAUGCUCGGAGCCUUAGGCUGCGUAUUCCCGGAGCUCCUCUCCCGCAACGGAGUCAAAUUCGGCGAGGCUGUGUGGUUCAAAGCUGGAUCACAAAUCUUCAGCGAAGGUGGGCUCGACU
RNAcentral lists this long non-coding RNA (332 nucleotides) under Cucumis sativus (cucumber). RNAcentral describes it as "long non-coding RNA (CSAT_LNC002273)". Lineage: Eukaryota; Viridiplantae; Streptophyta; Magnoliopsida; Cucurbitales; Cucurbitaceae. The record is from RNAcentral.